CCAAGAAAUUUAGUCAUUCUUUUACGGUAAAAAGACAGUUAAGCAAAACAAUAUAAUCAUUAGACCUUCAAUAUAGGAGUAAAAUCCAAAUAUUGAAAGUUAUGUCGAAUAUGAUUUAUUUUCUAGGCGCUGAAUCUGUGACAACUUUAAGGGAAACUGGGAUUGGAUACCCCAUUAUUUUUAGUCGUAAAUUUGGCUUAAAGUCUACCAGAGCACUACGAAUAAAAAGUUUAAAACUCAAAGAGCUUGGCGGUGUUUUAGACCUCUCAGGGGAACCUGUCUCGUAAUCGACAAUCCGCGUUAAACCUAACCCUUUAUAGCAAUUCAGCCUGUAUACCGUCGUCGCCAGGUAACUUCUUAAAAUAUAGUAGUUAGCUUGAAAAUUAUAUUAAUUAAAACGUCAGAUCAAGGUGCAGCUAAUAAAAGGGAGAGGAUGGGUUACAAUUACAUAUUUGUAAUUACGGCAAAAUGCUUGAAACAAAGUGUUUAUAAAGGAGGACUUGAAAGUAAUCUUGAUUAUAUAAACAGGGUGAAUAGGGCUCUGAAACGUG
Molecule: ribosomal RNA, 551 nt
Filed under: Conus plinthis
Lineage: Eukaryota; Metazoa; Mollusca; Gastropoda; Neogastropoda; Conidae
Description: partial 12S ribosomal RNA
Source: RNAcentral